UACGUAGGGUGCAAGCGUUGUCCGGAAUUAUUGGGCGUAAAGAGCUCGUAGGCGGUUUGUCGCGUCUGCUGUGAAAACUCGGGGCUUAACUCCGGGCCUGCAGUGGGUACGGGCAGACUAGAGUGCGGUAGGGGAGACUGGAAUUCCUGGUGUAGCGGUGAAAUGCGCAGAUAUCAGGAGGAACACCGGUGGCGAAGGCGGCUAUCUGGGCAUUACCUGACGCUGAGGAGCGAAAGUGUGGGGAGCGAACAGG
This 253-nucleotide ribosomal RNA is filed under the name uncultured bacterium. RNAcentral's name for it is "partial 16S ribosomal RNA". It matches the Rfam family "Bacterial small subunit ribosomal RNA", at positions 524 to 776 of the family's 1533-position model. The record is from RNAcentral.